This 494-nucleotide ribosomal RNA is filed under the name uncultured bacterium. RNAcentral describes it as "partial 16S ribosomal RNA". It matches the Rfam family "Bacterial small subunit ribosomal RNA", at positions 29 to 507 of the family's 1533-position model. The record is from RNAcentral.
ACGAACGCUGGCGGCGUGCCUCAUACAUGCAAGUAGAACGCUGAAGGAGGAGCUUGCUUCUCUGGAUGAGUUGCGAACGGGUGAGUAACGCGUAGGUAACCUGCCUGGUAGCGGGGGAUAACUAUUGGAAACGAUAGCUAAUACCGCAUAAGAGUAGAUGUUGCAUGACAUUUGCUUAAAAGGUGCAAUUGCAUCACUACCAGAUGGACCUGCGUUGUAUUAGCUAGUUGGUGAGGUAACGGCUCACCAAGGCGACGAUACAUAGCCGACCUGAGAGGGUGAUCGGCCACACUGGGACUGAGACACGGCCCAGACUCCUACGGGAGGCAGCAGUAGGGAAUCUUCGGCAAUGGACGGAAGUCUGACCGAGCAACGCCGCGUGAGUGAAGAAGGUUUUCGGAUCGUAAAGCUCUGUUGUAAGAGAAGAACGAGUGUGAGAGUGGAAAGUUCACACUGUGACGGUAUCUUACCAGAAAGGGACGGCUAACUACGUG